ACUAAAAAAGCAUAAUUACCUUCAUAUAACCUCAUACGAAAAUUUAGGCACUGGUAUCAUAGUCCAAAAUCAAACUCGAUCCAUGCAUCUAGAAAGUAAAAAAAAUAACAAACAUAACCCAUACACACUCAUUAGUCCCUUUAAAAUCAUUAUACUGGGAAUACAAAUAUGAUGAAUUGUCAAAUAAAUUUGAAAAUAGUGCUAG
RNAcentral lists this long non-coding RNA (205 nucleotides) under Capsicum annuum. RNAcentral describes it as "long non-coding RNA (CANN_LNC007987)". Lineage: Eukaryota; Viridiplantae; Streptophyta; Magnoliopsida; Solanales; Solanaceae. The record is from RNAcentral.